CAAACACACCGCGCCGGACGCCUCUGGGUGAGCGGGCAUGAGGAGGGGGCUGCAGUCCUGCGCACUGGGUGAACGGAGGAAUCAACCACACGCUGACCACUAAGGUCACCAGUCGAAGCCCUCACAAAGCAAGUGGGGACCUCUCUGGUGCCCCAAUGGGAAGGCUCACCCUCAAAGAUUUCUCGGAGUCCUGGAGAUGAACUCCAUUGCUCGCUGCUUGCGGCUCUCCAGACCCAGAAGGGGAAAGGAUACUUGUCUGGUCUGGACUGGUCACUGGAUAAGCUAUUAAAGUUUCAGAAAUUCAGCUGUGGAUCCAUCACUCUUGGAUCAAGAAGGCUCACCUGGACAACUGCUGGAAGGCCUGCCCAGAAGAAUCAACUUCCCUGAAAAUUACCCUGAGGAGACAACGCACCCAAAGCCCUGCUCCCACCAGUCCAGAAGCUGAUGGGUCUAUGCACAGCUGAUGCUCCAACUUUGGAAUGAACUGUGGACAAUUGAGCUGCUUGUUUUAUGGAGUGUUGGAACCAGUCACCCUUGUUUGUAACUGUUGGCUUCUGGUAUGCCAUACCCGUACGUAUACAACUGUACAAAGAUGUUUCCUAUUGUUUUUUGUUUAUUUGUUUUGUUUUGGUACCAGGGAUUGAAUUCGGGACCUUGAGCUUGUGAGGCAGGCAGUGGAACCAUUAAGCUAAAUCCUGGCCCCCUAUUGUUGAUCUGUAUCUGCUCCUACGUGGUCUACUUGGCCAAGCAAACUCAGGGCACUGGGAGUUCCAAGCCCAACUUUAUGGCACCGAUCCCAUGGUAAUCCUCAACAGGACUACAUGGGAUCCCUCCCAGCCUACUAUGUAUUUGUAUUUUAAUGCACGUCCUAUUGAAACCAAAAACCCAGGCCAGAAUUCCUAUGUUUAGGAGGCUUAAUCUGGGAAAGAGAAUAUCAAACCAAUAACAAAUAUGUCUGUCCCAAAUGGUGCCAGCCACCUGGAGGCCAAGGGCGUCUAAGCCACUGUAGAGACAUCCUAGAUUGGUUCUUCCUCUAUUGGGACUGCCCCAUGGACUACAGGGGGUACCUGAAUAUGCCCUUAACCCAGCUCCCAUCAAACCCUAAUUGUCAACAAGGGACUUGCAACCCAGUAAGGUACACUGUCCAGGACUCCACCAACCAAGAGUGGGCAAACAGUUGUCAGAUGAAUGUCCAGGUAGAUGGUAGGGGAAAAGACCCGGGGGUAAUCAUAAGAAUCCAAAACGUCUAGGCCCCAUCACUCCAUAUCAGUAUAUCUACACCAAGGCCACCACUGCUCCCAUUCCCCCCUGAGCCCAAGGGAAACCUUACUGACCCACCCACACCUAACCUACACACCUAUUGAACACGAACACACAGUCUAGUCAUAGUCUAGUUUGACCAUGUUCAAACAAAAGGGGGGAAAUAAAGCAGAAAAUACACUUGCUCUCAGUCAGAAGACCCCACCCUUCAGUAAGCCUUUUGUUCUCCAAUAAGUUUGUUUCCCCAGAAUGAUGUAACCUCUUGACCCUCUUCCUGCCAUAUGAAACCAGAAUGUAACUUUUGACCAAUCAUAUAAUACCUUCCUGUUCCUGCCAUAUAUAAAAAAGGGUGACACUCAAUGUAUCUUUCUGUCCAGUCAACUAACAACAAGCGCUCUGCUUCUGUACUUCCUGCUUGCUCACAAACCCUAUAAAAACCUGGCACACCGACCUUUCAGGGCCUGACUCUUUGGGAGUGAUCCCAGUCAGGACUGCCAAAGUCAAGAAAGCUGUACAUUUGCUCCAAACCUCGGGUCCCACUCAGUUCUUGGUCUUGGUCUGCUGUAGUACUUGCUGAGAGCUGUAGAAUUUGCUGUAAUACUAUCUCUCUUAGGCCCACUAAAAUCCACAUGAUCCAAACCCACCUCUUUGACCAUAAAAUAUACUACCACUAGUGCCAGGCUAAGUGACAGGAAGAUCCCACGACCUCUAGGUCAGCCUCAGUUCAAAGCCAGCCUAAACUCAGACCUUGCUCCAAAGGGGGGGUACUUUUACUUCCUAAUUCAUUGGGGGUUUUUUGUUCCUUGAGACAGGAUCUUACUGUUUAGCCCAGACCAGCCUCACACUCAUGCCAAAUCCUCCCAAGUGAUGGGAUUACAGGAGUGAGCCACCAUGCCCAACUGAUGUCUAAUUUAUUGACCAUCCUUUGUGUCUAAAAUACAAACUGAGGGACCAGGGAUGUAGCUCAGUGGCACCACACCUGCCUGGCAAGCACAAGGUCCUGAGUUCUAUUUCCAUUGAGGGGGGAUACAAACUGAAAUACAAACUCCAUGAGAGGGUCCUUGUCUUCUUCACUAUUUUAUUCCAUCACCUGGAACAAUGCCUGCCUAACACAUAAUAGGUGCUCAGUAAACAUUUGUUGAGUUGAGUAAAUAAAUAACUUUUGGAUGAAGGA
Molecule: long non-coding RNA, 2434 nt
Organism: Heterocephalus glaber (naked mole-rat)
Lineage: Eukaryota; Metazoa; Chordata; Mammalia; Rodentia; Bathyergidae
Source: RefSeq, a predicted model, not a curated record